This 468-nucleotide ribosomal RNA is filed under the name uncultured bacterium. RNAcentral's name for it is "partial 16S ribosomal RNA". It matches the Rfam family "Bacterial small subunit ribosomal RNA", at positions 28 to 507 of the family's 1533-position model. The record is from RNAcentral.
GACGAACGCUGGCGGCGUGCUUAACACAUGCAAGUCGAACGGAAAGGCCCUGCUUUUGUGGGGUGCUCGAGUGGCGAACGGGUGAGUAACACGUGAGUAACCUGCCCUUGACUUUGGGAUAACUUCAGGAAACUGGGGCUAAUACCGGAUAGGAGCUCCUGCUGCAUGGUGGGGGUUGGAAAGUUUCGGCGGUUGGGGAUGGACUGGCGGCUCAUCAGCUUGUUGGUGGGGUAGUGUCUUACCAAGGCUUUGACGGGUAGCCGGCCUGAUAGGGUGACCGGCCCCGUUGGGACUGAGAUACGACCCGGACUCCAACGGGAGGCAGCGGUGGGGAAUAGUGCACAAUGGGCGGAGGCCUGAUGCAGCAACGCCGUGUGCGGGAUGACGUGCUUCGGGUUGUAUACCGCUUUCGCCUGUGACGAAGCGUGAGUGACGGUAAUGGGUAAAGAAGCACCGGCUAACUACGUG